CCUACGGGCGGCUGCAGUGAGGAAUAUUGGUCAAUGGACGAGAGUCUGAACCAGCCAAGUAGCGUGAAGGAUGACUGCCCUAUGGGUUGUAAACUUCUUUUAUAUGGGAAUAAAAUGUUCCACGUGUGGGAUUUUGUAUGUACCAUAUGAAUAAGGAUCGGCUAACUCCGUGCCAGCAGCCGCGGUAAUACGGAGGAUCCGAGCGUUAUCCGGAUUUAUUGGGUUUAAAGGGAGCGUAGGUGGAUUGUUAAGUCAGUUGUGAAAGUUUGCGGCUCAACCGUAAAAUUGCAGUUGAAACUGGCAGUCGUGAGUACAGUAGAGGUGGGCGGAAUUCGUGGUGUAGCGGUGAAAUGCUUAGAUAUCACGAAGAACUCCGAUUGCGAAGGCAGCUCACUGGACUGCAACUGACACUGAGGCUCGAAAGUGUGGGUAUCAAACAGGAUUAGAUACCCCUGUAGUC
RNAcentral lists this ribosomal RNA (460 nucleotides) under uncultured bacterium. RNAcentral's name for it is "partial 16S ribosomal RNA". It matches the Rfam family "Bacterial small subunit ribosomal RNA", at positions 338 to 795 of the family's 1533-position model. The record is from RNAcentral.